Long non-coding RNA from Manis pentadactyla (Chinese pangolin), 489 nucleotides. RefSeq lists it as uncharacterized. The record is from RefSeq and is a predicted model, not a curated record. The transcript has 3 exons. Lineage: Eukaryota; Metazoa; Chordata; Mammalia; Pholidota; Manidae.
GCGCGGUUUUACCUUGUUCUCCGCCCCGUGAGCCUGUGGUAGCGUCGGGAGUGUCCGUCUGCUUGUCUGCGAGGGGCUGCGGAGGCCUGGAGCAGGGGGACGCAGUUGUACGGCCGGUCCGUGUCCCUGUGAGGCUGUGAAGGAGCGCUGGGUACCAGGGUCGCAGCACACAUGAUCAAGGUCACAAAACUGUCCAAUGGCAGAACAAGGCCAAGUCUUUGGACUCCCAUGCCGUAUAGACCAGCAGCACAGGCAUCACCUGGAAGCUUCUGAGAAGUGCAGACUGUCAGGCCCUAACCUAUAACCACUGAACCAGAUUCUAUCUAACAAGAUCCUCAGGAGCUCAAAUGGCCAUGAGCAUGUUCCCCAAGGAUGCCAGUGUGUCUCCUAUGUUUCAGGACCUGAUGACAUUUGAAGAUGUGUGUGUGGAAUUCACCCCGUGGGAGUGGGGGCAGCUGGACCCUUCUCUGAAGGACCUGUAGAGGGAGG